AAGAGAAAAUGACAAAGAAGUCCUAAGUUAAAUCCUUGCCUUAAAUUUUUGAUCUCUUUAAUUCUUAACCCUCAAAUUUUGUCCUUCUAAAUCCAGAUCAUUUAUUUUCUCCGUCUAGAAUCUUGACCUUUCAUCUUAGGACUCCCAUUCUCAAUAAAUAUUCAAAGCCUCCACUGUAGAAGGGGUCCCUUUUCCAAAAGUAGAGCUAAGAA
RNAcentral lists this unclassified non-coding RNA (212 nucleotides) under Hevea brasiliensis (rubber tree). The record is from RNAcentral. Lineage: Eukaryota; Viridiplantae; Streptophyta; Magnoliopsida; Malpighiales; Euphorbiaceae.